CUGGAGGUAUCAGAAGUGCGAAUGCUGACAUAAGUAACGAUAAAGCGGGUGAAAAGCCCGCUCGCCGGAAGACCAAGGGUUCCUGUCCAACGUUAAUCGGGGCAGGGUGAGUCGACCCCUAAGGCGAGGCCGAAAGGCGUAGUCGAUGGGAAACGGGUUAAUAUUCCCGUACUUGGUGUUACUGCGAAGGGGGGACGGAGAAGGCUAUGUUGGCCGGGCGACGGUUGUCCCGGUUUAAGCGUGUAGGUGUGUGUUCCAGGUAAAUCCGGUUCACUUUAACACUGAGGCGUGAUGACGAGGCACUACGGUGCUGAAG
Molecule: ribosomal RNA, 316 nt
Filed under: Salmonella enterica subsp. enterica serovar Chester
Lineage: Bacteria; Pseudomonadati; Pseudomonadota; Gammaproteobacteria; Enterobacterales; Enterobacteriaceae
Description: partial 23S ribosomal RNA
Rfam family: Bacterial large subunit ribosomal RNA
Source: RNAcentral